GUAGGUGGCAAGCGUUGUCCGGAAUUAUUGGGCGUAAAGCGCGCGCAGGUGGGUUCUUUAAGUCUGAUGUGAAAGACCCCCGGGCUCAACCGGGGAGGGUCAUUGGAAACUGGGGAACUUGAGUGCAGGAGAGGAAAGUGGAAUUCCACGUGUAGCGGUGAAAUGCGUAGAUAUGUGGAGGAACACCAGUGGCGAAGGCGACUUUCUGGCCUGUAACUGACACUGAGGCGCAAAAGCGUGGGGAGCAAACAGGAUUAGAUACCCUGGUAGUCCACGCCGUAAACGAUGAGUGCUAAGUGUUGGGGGGUUUCCGCCCCUCAGUGCUGCAGCUAACGCAUUAAGCACUCCGCCUGGGGAGUACGGUCGCAAGACUG
This 374-nucleotide ribosomal RNA is filed under the name uncultured organism. Its description in RNAcentral is "partial 16S ribosomal RNA". It matches the Rfam family "Bacterial small subunit ribosomal RNA", at positions 527 to 896 of the family's 1533-position model. The record is from RNAcentral.